RNAcentral lists this ribosomal RNA (165 nucleotides) under uncultured bacterium. RNAcentral describes it as "partial 16S rRNA". It matches the Rfam family "Bacterial small subunit ribosomal RNA", at positions 355 to 511 of the family's 1533-position model. The record is from RNAcentral.
UAGGGAAUCUUCGGCAAUGGACGAAAGUCUGACCGAGCAACGCCGCGUGAGUGAAGAAGGUUUUCGGAUCGUAAAACUCUGUUGGUAGAGAAGAACGUUGGUGAGAGUGGUAAGCUCAUCAAGUGACGGUAACUACCCAGGAAGGGACGGCUAACUACGUGCCAG